RNAcentral lists this ribosomal RNA (251 nucleotides) under uncultured prokaryote. RNAcentral's name for it is "partial 16S rRNA". It matches the Rfam family "Bacterial small subunit ribosomal RNA", at positions 525 to 775 of the family's 1533-position model. The record is from RNAcentral.
ACGGAGGAUGCGAGCGUUAUCCGGAUUUAUUGGGUUUAAAGGGUGCGUAGGCGGAUUAAUAAGUCAGUGGUGAAAACCUGCAGCUUAACUGUGGAACUGCCGUUGAUACUGUUAGUCUUGAGUAUGGUCAAGGUAGGCGGAAUGUGUAAUGUAGCAGUGAAAUGCUUAGAUACUACUCAGAACAUCGAUUGCGAAGUCAGCUUACUGGGCCGUUACUGACGCUUAUGCACUAAAGCGUGGGGAUCGAACAG